AGUGGGGCGGGCGUGCCUAUACAUGCAAGUCGAUGUGUGAUAACUGAUUUGAAGAGCUUGCUCAGAUAUGACGAUGGACAUUGCAAAGAGUGGCGAACGGGUGAGUAACACGUGGGAAACCUACCUCUUAGCAGGGGAUAACAUUUGGAAACAGAUGCUAAUACCGUAUAACAAUGACAACCGCAUGGUUGUUAUUUAAAAGAUGGUUCUGCUAUCACUAAGAGAUGGUCCCGCGGUGCAUUAGCUAGUUGGUAAGGUAAUGGCUUACCAAGGCGAUGAUGCAUAGCCGAGUUGAGAGACUGAUCGGCCACAAUGGGACUGAGACACGGCCCAUACUCCUACGGGAGGCAGCAGUAGGGAAUCUUCCACAAUGGGCGAAAGCCUGAUGGAGCAACGCCGCGUGUGUGAUGAAGGGUUUCGGCUCGUAAAACACUGUUGUAAGAGAAGAAUGACAUUGAGAGUAACUGUUCAAUGUGUGACGGGUAUCUUACCAGAAAGGA
RNAcentral lists this ribosomal RNA (500 nucleotides) under uncultured bacterium. RNAcentral describes it as "bacterial SSU rRNA". It matches the Rfam family "Bacterial small subunit ribosomal RNA", at positions 38 to 492 of the family's 1533-position model. The record is from RNAcentral.